GCUUGUUUAGCUCAGCGGUAAGAUCACCAAAAGGCAAAAUAUUCAUAGAAAAACAUCUGACAUAUAUCGUAGGCAGAGCGAGAGAUUGCAGUGCGCAGUCAUCUCUAGGUCCAUCGUUCGAAUCGGUGAACAAGCU
RNAcentral lists this transfer RNA (136 nucleotides) under Alectoria fallacina. RNAcentral's name for it is "tRNA-Cys". The record is from RNAcentral. Lineage: Eukaryota; Fungi; Ascomycota; Lecanoromycetes; Lecanorales; Parmeliaceae.